RNAcentral lists this ribosomal RNA (1083 nucleotides) under human gut metagenome. RNAcentral's name for it is "bacterial LSU rRNA". It matches the Rfam family "Bacterial large subunit ribosomal RNA", at positions 1298 to 2461 of the family's 2925-position model. The record is from RNAcentral.
CGGAAUGAGUAGCGCGAAUGCAGUGAGAAUCUGCAUGGCCGAAAGCCUCAGGUUUCUGGAGGAAGGUUCGUCCGCUCCAGGUUAGUCGGGAGCUAAGGUGAGGCCGGAAGGCGUAGCCGAUGCACAGACGGUAGAGAUUCCGUCACCACCAAAAGAGUUAAGCACAGGGACACAUUUGAAGUCUCAGAGCCGGGUGUUGGUUCCGGUAGAGAUCGAGGGAAAUUAGUACCGAAGUCUGAGAUGGAAGAUGGCGAGAAAAGCUGUGUGUAUUUCUGAGGUGCCCGUACCGCAAACCGACACAGGUAGGUAGGAAGAAGAUUCUAAGGCCAACGGGAGAAGGGUUGUUAAGGAACUCGGCAAAUUGACCCCGUAACUUCGGGAGAAGGGGUGCUCCAGAGAUGGAGCCGCAGAGAAUCGGCCCAAGCAACUGUUUACCAAAAACACAGGUUUGUGCUAAAUCGAAAGAUGACGUAUACGAGCUGACGCCUGCCCGGUGCUGGAAGGUUAAGAGGAGAUGUGCAAGCAUUGAAUCGAAGCCCCAGUGAACGGCGGCCGUAACUAUAACGGUCCUAAGGUAGCGAAAUUCCUUGUCAGGUAAGUUCUGACCCGCAUGAAAGGCGUAAUGAUUUGGGCACUGUCUCAACAGCCCGCCCGGCGAAAUUGUAGUACCGGUGAAGAUGCCGGUUACCCGCGACAAGACGGAAAGACCCCAUGGAGCUUUACUGUAGCCUAAUAUUGGGUUUCGAUGUUGCAUGCACAGGAUAGAUGGGACACUGGGAAACAAUCGCUUUGGCGGUUGCGGAGUGGCCGUUGGGAUACCAUCCUUGCGAUAUUGGAAUUCUAACCUGCGGCUCUGAAUCGAGUCGGGGGACAUUGUUAGGUGGGCAGUUUGACUGGGGCGGUCGCCUCCUAAAAAGUAACGGAGGCGUUCAAAGGUUCGCUCAGCUUGAACGGAAAUCAAGCAAAAGAGUGCAAACGCAGAAGCGAGCCUAACUGCGAGACUGACGGGUCGAGCAGUAACGAAAGUUGGAGUUAGUGAUCCGGUGGUAUGUGAGUGGAAAUGCCAUCGCUCAACGGAUAAAA